RNAcentral lists this ribosomal RNA (1286 nucleotides) under uncultured bacterium. RNAcentral's name for it is "partial 16S ribosomal RNA". It matches the Rfam family "Bacterial small subunit ribosomal RNA", at positions 41 to 1344 of the family's 1533-position model. The record is from RNAcentral.
AACGGGGAUUACACGGUGAUGCGAUUUCGGUCAAAUCAAGUGCAAUCUUAGUGGCGGACGGGUGAGUAACGCGUGGGUAACCUGCCUUGCACUGGGGGAUAACACUUAGAAAUAGGUGCUAAUACCGCAUAAGCGCACGGUCCUGCAUGGGACAGUGUGAAAAACUCCGGUGGUGCAAGAUGGACCCGCGUCUGAUUAGCUGGUUGGCGGGGUAAAGGCCCACCAAGGCGACGAUCAGUAGCCGGCCUGAGAGGGUGGACGGCCACAUUGGGACUGAGACACGGCCCAAACUCCUACGGGAGGCAGCAGUGGGGGAUAUUGGACAAUGGGGGGAACCCUGAUCCAGCGACGCCGCGUGAGUGAAGAAGUAUUUCGGUAUGUAAAGCUCUGUCAGCAGGGAAGAAAGCAAUGACGGUACCUGACCAAGAAGCCCCGGCUAACUACGUGCCAGCAGCCGCGGUAAUACGUAGGGGGCAAGCGUUAUCCGGAAUUACUGGGUGUAAAGGGAGCGUAGACGGCUGUGCAAGUCUGGAGUGAAAGGCGGGGGCCCAACCCCCGGACUGCUCUGGAAACUGUAUGGCUGGAGUGCAGGAGAGGUAAGCGGAAUUCCUAGUGUAACGGUGAAAAGCCCUAGAUAUUAGGAGGAACCCCCNUNNCNNNNNCNNCUUNCUNNNCUNUNNCUNNCNUUNNNNCUCNAAANCNUNNNNCCCCUUUAAAGGNNNNNNCCNNNNNNNUCCACGCCGUAAACGAUGAUUACUAGGUGUCGGUGGGUAUGGACCCAUCGGUGCCGCAGCAAACGCAGUAAGUAAUCCACCUGGGGAGUACGUUCGCAAGAAUGAAACUCAAAGGAAUUGACGGGGACCCGCACAAGCGGUGGAGCAUGUGGUUUAAUCCGAAGCAACGCGAAGAACCUUACCAAGUCUUGACAUCUGGAUGACAGGGACGUAACGGUCCCCUUACUUCGGUACAUCCAAGACAGGUGGUGCAUGGUUGUCGUCAGCUCGUGUCGUGAGAUGUUGGGUUAAGUCCCGCAACGAGCGCAACCCUUAUCCUUAGUAGCCAGCGGGCAGGGCCGGGCGCUCUAGGGAGACUGCCGGGGAUAACCCGGAGGAAGGUGGGGAUGACGUCAAAUCAUCAUGCCCCUUAUGAUUUGGGCUACACACGUGCUACAAUGGCGUAAACAGAGGGAAGCGAACCCGCGAGGGGGAGCAAAUCCCAAAAAUAACGUCCCAGUUCGGAUUGUAGCCUGCAACCCGGCUACAUGAAGCUGGAAUCGCUAGUAAUCG